UACGUAGGGUGCAAGCGUUAAUCGGAAUUACUGGGCGUAAAGCGUGCGCAGGCGGUUUUGUAAGUCUGUCGUGAAAUCCCCGGGCUCAACCUGGGAAUUGCGAUGGAGACUGCAAGGCUAGAAUCUGGCAGAGGGGGGUAGAAUUCCACGUGUAGCAGUGAAAUGCGUAGAGAUGUGGAGGAACACCGAUGGCGAAGGCAGCCCCCUGGGUCAAAACUGACGCUCAUGCACGAAAGUGUGGGGAGCAAACAGG
RNAcentral lists this ribosomal RNA (253 nucleotides) under uncultured bacterium. RNAcentral describes it as "partial 16S ribosomal RNA". It matches the Rfam family "Bacterial small subunit ribosomal RNA", at positions 524 to 776 of the family's 1533-position model. The record is from RNAcentral.